Molecule: long non-coding RNA, 5178 nt
Organism: Alexandromys fortis (reed vole)
Lineage: Eukaryota; Metazoa; Chordata; Mammalia; Rodentia; Cricetidae
Exons: 3
Source: RefSeq, a predicted model, not a curated record
UUACCUCAGCUUCCCAGAUAGUGCACGCAGCGACGGAGGCCCACCCCUCCCACCCUGCCGCGCGUGCCCGCUUGGGCAGAUGGCGCCGAGCUAAUUAGUCGCGAUGCCCCACACGGGGUUCGGAUCUCCUCACGAGCAGUAUUAUGUCAGUGAACGGCGGAUAGUAUGGCUAGAAGAAGCAGGCGGCAAUCCGCAGGCGAGGUGACAGCCGAAGAGAAGAGCCAUGGAGAUGGAUGGCAGUAGGACACGCGGAGUCCUCCUAGGUGGGAGAGGAAUGGCCUGGCUCGGGCGCCAUGCGGGGCUCUAGAAAAAAGGGAAAAAGUACUUUACUGAACACGAACUUUUUGGAGAAUUGUUUCAAAACUCACAAGUGUUCUGCCCUGCUCCCUGGCCCCCCAGCUACGACAUGGUAGACAGCACUGGCUAAGUGAAAGGGCAGGGACAUUAAGUUUGGAGAAACCUUCCUCGGGUGCUGGGGUCUGCCACCGGGUCUACUUGGAUGUAAUUAAUUCAUUCAUUCAAUAACUGGCACACAGCCACUUUGUGCCCAGGUGCCCGGACAGAGCCAAUGGUCAGACUAAGACAUGGCACCUUCCCGGAAUGGGACAAGGUGUCAAUUAAUCCCAGAACUGCCGGGUAAUCACAAACUCUCUUCCUACGUUGCCUUCCUUUCGCUUUUGAACAUAGCUUGCAAAACUUGGGACCCUGGGAAGAAGGAAACAGAAACUCUACUCUGAAUGCAGCACACCCACCCCAGGUCCUCAAGGGGCGGGGGUGAAUGUUUUAAAUUAUUCUGGACAGUUCUAUCUUUGAAAGUAGAAAACAAAGUUGACCACUCCGAGUUUUCGGGUUUUCCUGCCCGAAAGUUUGUCCAACUCAAACUCAGAAAGGGUGUGACAUAGAAGGCACAGCCUGCUGCUUUUUCUUGGUCCCUGCUGGUACACCUCUGCCUCCAUGCUACGCUCUAUUUUUAGUGAUUUUUUUUUUCAAACGGAUUUGAAAGAACACCAGAAAGUGAUUCUACGCAACCAAAGAUCUCUUGGAAUUACGAGCAGGAAGCUAAACCUAACAAAUAGGCCCUAAGUUGCUGCACUGUUGCCCAGGCUCCGACUAUGUCUCCUCAGAAGUUAAGUUUUUAUCCACGACUGAUUAAGGCCUCUGGUCCAUACAAACAUACGCUUAAAGAAGUAUGAAAAACUCAAAGGAACUACUGCCCAGGUUGAUGAUUUUUUCUUUUUUCUUUCUUUCUUACUUUUUUUUUUUUUUUUUAAAUCUAACCAGAGUGGAUGAAAAAGACUUAACUGCUGUUCUGCUGGGCUUCACGGAAACUCUGAGUUCCCAGGUAUUGGCCAGCCCUGUAAGUGGUGACCUGAAGACAGGGACUACCUUUUACCUCUUCAACAAAAACUUCUUGGUUGAAUUUGAUUUAUCUGUCAUUUGUGAAAUUAAAGACUUAGAAGACAGCGGACCUGGCCAGAAAUUUCUGUUCCGCUCCAGUUGUACAAAAGCCUCUUCCUUCCUGCUUCCAGUGUGUAGAAGCACAGACACAUUGUUUUUAAAAGAUGGCUGCAGGCACAGACCCUCUUAUUGCUGUGAGCCUGGCGGAUACAGCUCUCCCUGCCCACCUGCCUGCAGGGACCAGCCUGCUUCCUCAUCCCCACCUUCUCUCUGCAGCAGUCUUCAAAUGGCUAUCACAGAGAAGGCAAGAGACCUCCCACAUCUUGUUCAUGUAAGAGCAAUAGAGGAGGUGGCAUACCAGCAUGGAGUGCCGAGGCUGGCCUUAGUGGGGAAGGGGUAAGUUCCUAGCAGAGAAGCCUGUGGCCUCUUCCUGGGAAGUCCACGUAGCCUUCCUCAGCGGCUUGUGGAGCAAACAGGGCAGCGGCAUCAGGGUAAGUACAAAGGUACCAUCCUUGGAAACAAGGGACCACAGUGUCUAAAACGUCCUCUCCUCCGUGGAGGCUCCUUGGAUUUCUCCUAGAAGCAUAUGUCUAUCUCUUUCCUAGCCUUCAACUUAAUGGAAGAGGAUGAACUCCUGAACUCUGCUGCUACCCAAAGUGGUUCCCAGGUAUGAGGUUCCCAGAAACGAUUAGCCAUUUGUUAAAAGACAAAAGAUGGCCUAAGGUGUUUUUCCUACAUCAUUUGCCAUGUUGGUAGGGACACAUUGAAAAGUUCCCGUGUGCGAUGCCUAGGGUACUGGCAAAGGCGCAUGUGCGAUGCCUAAGGUACUGGCAAAGGCUCAUGUGCGAUGCCUAGGGUGCUGGCAAAGUGGGUGUGUGCGAUGCCAAAGGUGCAGGCAAAGUGGGGGUGUGUGAUGCCAAGGGUACUGGCAAAGUGCGCGUGCACGAUGCCUAGGGUACUGGCAAAGUGCGCAUGCACGAUGCCUAGGGUACUGGCAAAGUGCGCAUGCACGAUGCCUAGGGUACUGGCAAACCUCCUCUACUCUAAACUUCUCUUAAGAGAAUUAAAAAAAAAAUUCUAAAAUCAGAAACACCCCCACCCCCUUUUUUCCCUAGAAGAGGAAAACUGGGAUCUAAAGGGACAAAAAGAUGUGUGCAGGGUCUCAGAACUGGCUCCUGGCAGAAUAAGGGCUCACCAUUGUUAAUCAAAAGAUCAAAGCCCUGAAACUGGAGGCUGCUGGGCUAUAUCCCAUUGUAUUUUAUCUUUCUGACCUGCCUAAGGCCCACAAAGUUCCCAAAGUGGGGUUAUUUGUCCCCAGAUGUCAAUUGCUAAACUAAAAAACCUUAAAAAAUAUAUAUUCCUAGGCCUGGAGCGGAGCUACAUUCCUAGGAAAAAAGAUGAAGGGAGGGGGCCCAGAGUGCUGCCUGAGGCAGGCGCAGGCGCGAGUUUUCUGAAGCCAGGCUCUCAAUUGUAAACCCCGAGCGCCAUCUGCCAGCCAGUUCUGAACAGCUUUGCUUUGUUAAGUUUUUCCUGCUUCCAGCCUUAAACGGUGGGUGGGUGUUCUACUUUCUUUCUGUUAAAAUGGAUGUGUAUUUUAUAAACUCUGGCUCAGAAGUGCUACCCCCCUACACAAAAAGAUCCUACUUUAAAAAAAAAUCUGAAAAUAGAAAGAAAAAUAAAGUAGGGAGAAAAAAAAAAGAAAGAAUGGGAAGAGGACAAACAGAUAAAAUUCCUCAGGGGCUUUUACUUCUUCCCUGGGUUCUGCACUCUGUGAACUUGGGGUGGAAAUGAGAUGGACUCCCUUCUCUCCCUAAGGUAGCCACGCUGGCCCUUCCUCCUCCCUGGAGAUCCCACUCCCUCACUGGAACCUUCCUUAAUGUGUGAUCUCACAGGAGUUUGGGGUGAAGGUCUUUGCUUCCUGUCACCUUGAGUUUCGGGGUGAGCGUUAGCUACAAGAGUUUUAGAUUUGUCUGACCAAUAAGUAUGAGUUUUCUGCUUGGACCCCACUUUCUGUAAUGUUCCUGUCCUAACCCCACCUUGGUAAAACUUUAUAUACACCAAGGCGGGCAUAGGAUGUCUCCGGCUUCCUCGUAAACAACUCAGCAAAUUUGGUUCCUUUUGACCAUGGCAGAACCUCGGGUCAACCUGAAGCCUUGUCAAUACUUCAAGACUCAUCGACAGCUUUUGUACAUCACUUGACAAGUACAUGGAAUCCUAAAAUCAACCAAGGUUCCAGGAAAUCCCCCCAGGCCUAAGCUGGUGCUUUCUCCAUCAUUCUGGGACCCUCUUCGGAAGCUGGGGCUCCUCUGCUCACCCCCACCCCCAUUAUCAGACAACCUUCUUGGGAAGGCCACAAUGUGGAGUCUCAUUGGGAAAUUUCCAAAUACUCCCACUAGAGAGAGGGGUCCCUCUUAAGUGUCCGUCUUAAGUCCUCACUUGCAUGUCUGCUUGGUGAAACAAAAUGACCUGCACUUCCCUUCUAACAGUGGAAAGGAAAGAACCUGAAGCCGCGUGACAGUAAUGGAUAAACAGCCCAGAGGGUUUGGCUACCCAACUUUAAAAAAAAUUUCCCCCUAACAUCUGGCAUUGGAUUUUGGGUUCUGCCCUGAGUCUUCUAAGCAUUUCCUUGGAAAGAUGUUGUACUUGGUCCCAGGCAAAGUCUCAAAAUCAACAUUCUGAGGUUUUCCCCUGAGUCACUUCUAGGACUGCUCACUGAGGAGUUUUCCUGUUAGGGGCACUUCAGUAAGCAGAGCCUGGGACACUCAGGUGAGUCUGCAGAAAGUUCUGAUUUCAAGCGAUACUUUCCCACCUUCCAUGGCUAAUUUUGGGGUAUAAAAAUCUUCUGUUCCUUAAGAGGGGAAAAAAGAUAGGGAAAGUCUUAUUUUUAAAAAGUCAGAAGCUGGGAGUGCAGUUCGGGGACAGCAUGGCAUGAAGCCCUGAAUUCAAUCCCCAGCAGACAGAGAGAGAGGUAAGGCACAAGCUGGGGAGUGUGUGACAGCUGACCCUCAUUCUCAUGGGUAGACAUGGGUAUGGAUGCUGAUUUUAGAUGGAAAAGAGUCAGCCAUUUUAUCGAAGAUCAAGUACAACACUUUUGGCCAAGAAAAUUCUUUGGUCGGUUGCUUCUAUUGGCAUCAUUGUUUUCUUUCUAGAAGAUUUUUCUCUCCCUCAGUGCAGCUAUUCCGCUCUUCCUGCCACCACUCAAAGGUGACAGGUCACCUUCCCACGAAUGGAUGGCCGUCUUUGGAGUCCACAUCCUCAUGGUUGGUGUGCAUAGGCUAACUCAAGGCUCUUCUAAUGUCUGUAAGUACACAGAAGGUGCAAGCACGUCCCUUGUUGUCUAGACAUCCCUUCUACAAUAACAGGGUUUACUGGCACACUCCAGGCAGAGGUGGACAGGCUAACAUGACACCAGUUAAUGCAACCUAACAAACACUGUGUUUGGCGGUGAAGGGUUAAAAGUCCACAUGGCCCUGAUACUGCCUGCCCAUUGAUUAGUUAGAUAUUGACUUAUCAGAGUCCUAGAUCAAGUCAUUGUUUAUUUGCCUGAAAUAAUUUCCUCUUCUCUUCUGCUUAGGGUCAUCUAGGGGUCACUCUUGGAGAUUUGUGGAAAUUGCUCCUAUCUUAGAAUGCAACCCACUAACAUUAGUAUACACAUUGCUGACUGGUCCGUAGAGGGGCACCUUUUCUUCAGAGGACUUGUUUGUUGUGUACAAGUUAGGCCAUGUAUAUGUUUAGCAUCCUCAGGGCUAGGAUGGAUUAAAUCUAGGCAGCAGCUCUCAA